Molecule: ribosomal RNA, 440 nt
Filed under: uncultured bacterium
Lineage: Bacteria
Description: partial 16S ribosomal RNA
Rfam family: Bacterial small subunit ribosomal RNA
Source: RNAcentral
CCUACGGGUGACAGCAGUGGGGAAUAUUGCACAAUGGGGGAAACCCUGAAGCAGCGACGCCGCGUGAGUGAAGAAGUAAUUCGGUAUGUAAACUUCUAUUGGCAGGGAAGAAAAUGACGGUAUCUGAGGAAUAAGCACCGGCUAACUACGUGCCAGCAGCCGCGGUAAUACGUAGGGGGCAAGCGUUACCCGGAUUUACUGGGCGUAAGGGGCGCGUAGGCGGCAGAGCAAGUCUGGAGUGAAAGCCGAGGGCUCAACCAGAGGACUGCACUGGAAACUGUUCGGCUGGAGUGCGGGAGAGGUAGGUGGAAUUCGUGGUGUAGCGGUGAAAUGCGUAGAUAUCAGGAGGAACACCAAUUGCGAAGGCGGCUUACUAGACUGUAACUGACGUUGAGGCGCGAAAGCGUGGGGAGCAAACAGGAUUAGAUACCCGGGUAGUC